ACUGGUAUGGGGACUUCUAACAGUUCACAGUGACCAAGGUCUAUUUAUAAACGAAGAUCUCCUCUGUAAUGGUUGUCGUGAUGGGAUUUGGUAAUGAUAAAGUAAGCCCACCCUUAGCACACAGCUUUAGCUCUCAGUGGUAGCAAGGACUCAUGCAGCCCUGGAAGCAGCUCUGAGCCAUGUCCUCUGACUUAAACCUUGCCGGAACACUUCCCACUUCCAAGUGAUGCAAAGGGUGGCUACAGGGACUUUGGCUUAGGCAUUGUAGGUGCUAAGGGAGAUGAACUAGGGUCUCUCAGGACAACCCUCCCCUGUCCCGCCAGGGUAUGUCAAAGCUGAAGUAGGGCCCAAAGGUGGCCCACGCCUUCCUAGGUCUAGCUGUCUUGCGACAGGCCACUUUUUCCUGCCAAAAUCCCACCAACAGAUAUGCCCAUUACAGUCUGGAAGUACCAGGGCAGAAACGGAUGGAUGAGUCGUUACUGACACAGGCCCCCCAACUCCUUUCUGCGUGGCUUUCUGCUGAGCAGUCCCUGGGCAGAGCAGUGGAGGACUUGGAGCUCUGGUCUGUCUAUCACCAGGUAUCUUGACCAGCGUCCAGACACAACUCACUUCUUCAAGGCCCUUGGGGUCACCGAUCAGGCACAGGGACAGUCCUGCUCUCCAGCAAGCAGGUAAGGAUAGGGGCCAACACCAGGAGGGAAAAAGCCAGCACCCAGGUGCUCGGAGACACUGCAGUACCAUACCCUGCAACGUGGGUGGGAAACGCUGAGGUGGUGGAGCCACAAGUGCUAGGGAUGUGCUACGGAUUUCAUUAUCUGAUGAGCCAGUAGUGUGUGUGCGUUUCUGCUAUGGGGAUCGUUUGAUGCACAGAAAUGGUCUCACAGGAUGCAGCACUUAGAGAGGUUUUGUGACACAAAAUCAGUGAAGGCAAAACCUGUAUCUAUGCUCACAGAGUGAAUGCUGUAGUUUAGGGGAGGGCGCCUCUUUCAUCUGCAUUAUCUAAUAGUGUGGCAAAGGAGGACGCAGCUAGCACGUGACCUUUGGUGGUGAUCACACCACCAAACACAAUAAAAGACUGUGUGAGGUAGGGAUGUUCUGC
Molecule: long non-coding RNA, 1099 nt
Filed under: Struthio camelus australis
Lineage: Eukaryota; Metazoa; Chordata; Aves; Struthioniformes; Struthionidae
Description: lncRNA (ENSSCUG00000014230.1)
Source: RNAcentral